RNAcentral lists this ribosomal RNA (496 nucleotides) under uncultured bacterium. RNAcentral describes it as "partial 16S ribosomal RNA". It matches the Rfam family "Bacterial small subunit ribosomal RNA", at positions 29 to 507 of the family's 1533-position model. The record is from RNAcentral.
AUGAACGCUGGCGGCGUGCCUAAUACAUGCAAGUCGAGCGAACAGACGAGGAGCUUGCUCCUCUGAUGUUAGCGGCGGACGGGUGAGUAACACGUGGAUAACCUACCUAUAAGACUGGGAUGACUUCGGGAAACCGGAGCUAAUACCGGAUAACAUGUUGAACCGCAUGGUUCAACAGUGAAAGACGGUCUUGCUGUCACUUAUAGAUGGAUCCGCGCCGCAUUAGCUAGUUGGUAAGGUAACGGCUUACCAAGGCAACGAUGCGUAGCCGACCUGAGAGGGUGAUCGGCCACACUGGAACUGAGACACGGUCCAGACUCCUACGGGAGGCAGCAGUAGGGAAUCUUCCGCAAUGGGCGAAAGCCUGACGGAGCAACGCCGCGUGAGUGAAGAAGGUCUUCGGAUCGUAAAACUCUGUUAUUAGGGAAGAACAAAUGUGUAAGUAACUAUGCACGUCUUGACGGUACCUAAUCAGAAAGCCACGGCUAACUACGUG